RNAcentral lists this ribosomal RNA (583 nucleotides) under Chaetomium sp. Its description in RNAcentral is "eukaryotic LSU rRNA". The stretch from base 221 to 374 matches the Rfam family "5.8S ribosomal RNA". Lineage: Eukaryota; Fungi; Ascomycota; Sordariomycetes; Sordariales; Chaetomiaceae. The record is from RNAcentral.
AAAGUGCCGUAAACAAGGUCUCCGUUGGUGAACCAGCGGAGGGAUCAUUACAGAGUUGCAAAACUCCCAAACCAUUGUGAACGUUACCCAUCCCGUUGCUUCGGCGGGCGGCCCGGGCCCCGUGCCCGGCGCCCCCCGGCCCCUCGCGGGCGCCCGCCGGAGGUAAACCAAACUCUUGAAUUGUAUGGCCUCUCUGAGUCUUCUGUACUGAAUAAGUCAAAACUUUCAACAACGGAUCUCUUGGUUCUGGCAUCGAUGAAGAACGCAGCGAAAUGCGAUAAGUAAUGUGAAUUGCAGAAUUCAGUGAAUCAUCGAAUCUUUGAACGCACAUUGCGCCCGCCAGUAUUCUGGCGGGCAUGCCUGUUCGAGCGUCAUUUCAACCAUCAAGCCCCCGGCUUGUGUUGGGGACCUGCGGCUGCCGCAGGCCCUGAAAACCAGUGGCGGGCUCGCUAGUCACUCCGAGCGUAGUAGUUACAUCUCGCUCAGGGCGUGCUGCGGGUUCCGGCCGUUAAAAAGCCUUAUUUACCCCAAGGUUGACCUCGGAUCAGGUAGGAAGACCCGCUGAACUUAAGCAUAUCAAUAA